AUCCGGGGGCGGGGUGGAGGCGGGGAGAAGCCCCCACUGGGCACAGUGCCCCGGGGCUGGCUCUGUGGCUGAGCUUUGAUAUGGGGUGAGGGGGUUACUGCUGACAGCCGGGCUCCCUCACCCCCACCCAGGCUGCCCACGGACUGAACCACUAAUGACUCAGGCCCUGCCACCUGCUGGGAAGUCAGCUGGAAAGUUUUUUUCGUGAUUCAGGGAAUCCCCCGCUUACGGUUACCUUCAGAUAGAAAGUCUACCAGAUCCUUCUCCCCUGUGAUUGACAUUUCUCCAAACCAUAGACCAGGGAGGGGUGCUGAGGUCAGGGUCAGCGGGCCGAGGCACAGAGGUCUGGCCCUCAGUGCCCCUCCUGUGCUCUCUCUGACCUGUGCAGCGCCUCUGACCCCCAGAUCCCUCCACCCCACCUCCUGGCUAAGUGCUUAGUCUGUGGGGAGCCUGGCCCACAUUCCUGCCCAGCCACAGUGCCUGGGAAGGGAGACACAACAUGCAGCCGGCCUGGGGCCGGCCGGUCUGGGCAGGCUCAGUGGCACCCCCAUCUGUGAGCGGCCAGGCCCUGGUGGGAGAUGUGCCCUCGCGGUGGCCCAGCCCCGAUCAAAAGACCCCCAGGCUCAGGUCGGGAGCCCCUAGUCCCAGACGACACUCUCCUGGCUCAGCCACUCCCCAGCUAAGCCCAGAGCUCACCUCCCCCUCUUCCAGCUCGGCCGGGCUCAGCCCUCCCGGCUGCAGGGACCCCCUUUCUCCUAGGAACCGGGAGGGAACAGCCGCCUGGGACUUCCCUGGCCCCCUCCUGGGCCCAGCUGCAGCCACAACCGGCUCUGCCCCGCCGCUUGCUGGCGGCUGCCCGCACUGCGCCUCCGGGCACGGCUCCGGGGUCGCUCCCGGCCGCGCGCGGGCUCACCCCGACCCCCGGCCCGGCGCCCGCGCUCAGGGCUUGCUUCUCCGGCCAGGGCCGCCCGCGUCCCCCCACCGGCUCCUGGGGGCUCCUCGGGACCCCUGCGCGGCUCCGACUCCCUCGCCUCCAGCCCCUGCUCCCGCCAGAUGCACUGCACACCCGGGGCCUCGGUUUCCCCAGCAGGAAAGGAGCGUGCAGAGCCCAGAGGUAGUAAAUGCGCCCGGUGUUAGAUCCACGGGAUAGAGUCGGCCCCCGCUGCCCUGCUCCAGACAACUUGUCCCCUCCCAGAGCCGACCAGCCCCACAACCUCUAAUGCGUUCUUCUGAAGACACCCUCGGUAUGACCAACACGGCAACACUUUCUCUGCCUUGUCUCCCUGCCCUUGUCUGUCACACGGUCCCCAGCCUUGGUUGGUGGCCGUACCGCCCAGGCUUCCCUGCAGCCAGGAGCUGCUGCUGGGCCCGGGAGAGGACAGAGAAAACAAUUUGCUUUUC
RNAcentral lists this long non-coding RNA (1401 nucleotides) under Felis catus (domestic cat). Its description in RNAcentral is "lncRNA (ENSFCAG00000049663.1)". Lineage: Eukaryota; Metazoa; Chordata; Mammalia; Carnivora; Felidae. The record is from RNAcentral.